AUUCCUGGUAUCUACUACCCUUUCUAUAUCACUGUUCCUGCUCCCACUGGAAGGCUAUUCCAGGUAUCAACUACCCUUUCUAUAUCACUGUUACUGCUCCCACUGGAAGGCUAUUCCGUGUAUCUACUACCCUUUCUAUAUCACUGUUACUGCUCCCACUGGAAGGCUAUUCCAGGUAUCUACUACCCUUUCUAUAUCACUGUUACU
Molecule: non-coding RNA, 207 nt
Organism: Pelobates cultripes (western spadefoot toad)
Lineage: Eukaryota; Metazoa; Chordata; Amphibia; Anura; Pelobatidae
Source: the annotation of a GenBank genome assembly